CCUGGGCCCUGGCUGGCCUGGGGUGGGGGUGGGGAAUGGAGAGGAGUGGAAUGCAGGGUUACCCUUUCAUCUCUAGUGUCACGUCACUGGGCCUUUCUCUCUCAGUGCCAUCACUUUUCUCUGCUCGGCCCGAAAGCAGACCAUCCUGAAAGUUCUGUUGGUAUCUUUAAACUCAGGAGGCUUUCCCAAUAAUGCAUUUCCUUCUUGUCUAGAUGGUAACUGAGAUGGAUCUGUGCCCCAGGCUUCACGCAGGGAAGUUGAAUUAUGGGAGUUGAAUUAACGUUGGACUCCUCAGAACAACCAUGGGAGAGCAAAGAUGGCUUCUCUGGGGGUCCUGGGCUGAGGGGCCUAGGAAGCUCCUUUGGUGCCUGCCCAGUGAGUGGCCCCAGUCCACCCUUAGGACCAUUCUACUGUACGUAUGGAGCACCUGCUGUGUGCCAGGCCCAGGUGGGCUCAGAACCCACCGCUCUGCUCCGGCCUCCUUGCGCGUCCCAACUGCCCGUCCCAGGAGGGCAGGGCAGACUCGGAUUCCUCCCUCCGCAGGCCCAGGGCGUCAAUCCCAGCACCCGGCACCCGGUGGGCACUCGGCCCCAGCGCGCACCACUCGGGGGCUCUCGAGGCGGCCUCUCUUGCGAUCGAGGGCGCGCGGGGCUGAAGAACAAUCUCCGGCCUCGGCUCUCAGCGCCGGAGGUUGGAAGAGGGCGGGUCGCCGGCGCCCGAAGGCGAGGACGCAGAGCCGCGGGAGGAAGGAGCGCUCGCCCGCCCGCCGCCUCGCUGCCUCCCCGCGCUCGUUCUCCGGACUCCUGGAGCUGCCGGCUGCUCCUCCCACCCGCGCCCGCCUCCUCGCUCGCUCGCUC
Molecule: long non-coding RNA, 857 nt
Filed under: Heterocephalus glaber (naked mole-rat)
Lineage: Eukaryota; Metazoa; Chordata; Mammalia; Rodentia; Bathyergidae
Description: lncRNA (ENSHGLG00000045618.1)
Source: RNAcentral